Argiope bruennichi is the source of this 489-nucleotide long non-coding RNA. RefSeq lists it as uncharacterized. The record is from RefSeq and is a predicted model, not a curated record. NCBI's taxonomy places the organism in Eukaryota, Metazoa, Arthropoda, Arachnida, Araneae, Araneidae. The transcript has 3 exons.
ACGAACAGCGUUCUUUCAUAUAAAAAGCAUUCUACCUAGUUCAGGAAACAACAUCUCGUCUUUUGCUCGCUAAGGAAGUCAUCCCAAUCUGAAGAUGCAGACUCUGUUUGUUUUUCUACUCCUGGCUGUUUGCAUGGCCGUUGCCAUGGCACAGUAUUGGGGUGGCGCUUACUAUGGAGGAUAUGGGUUGGGACCCUAUGGCUACGGAGGUCGCUCCUAUGCUGGUGCACCUAGCAGAUUAUAUGGCGGGUUGUAUGGCGGCUAUGGAUGGGGUGGAUAUGGAGGAUAUGGUGGAUACGGUGCUUACUGGAAGUAAGAAGAUCCAUAAUGAAAUGAAUUGCAGUCUGGAUUUUAUCAACCAGUAGCAUCCCCAUCAACAUUAUGAAUUCAUUUCAAUGUCAGUCAAAAUAUUUAUGUGAAACGAGAUUCAAUACUUCAUUGUUUUCUCAUUUCCAUUGAUUUGAAAUUUAAUAAAAAUUUUAAAACUUA